This 497-nucleotide ribosomal RNA is filed under the name uncultured bacterium. RNAcentral's name for it is "partial 16S ribosomal RNA". It matches the Rfam family "Bacterial small subunit ribosomal RNA", at positions 28 to 507 of the family's 1533-position model. The record is from RNAcentral.
GAUGAACGCUGGCGGCGUGCCUAAUACAUGCAAGUCGAGCGAACAGACGAGGAGCUUGCUCCUCUGACGUUAGCGGCGGACGGGUGAGUAACACGUGGAUAACCUACCUAUAAGACUGGGAUAACUUCGGGAAACCGGAGCUAAUACCGGAUAACAUGUUGAACCGCAUGGUUCAACAGUGAAAGACGGUGUUGCUGUCACUUAUAGAUGGAUCCGCGCCGCAUUAGCUAGUUGGUAAGGUAACGGCUUACCAAGGCAACGAUGCGUAGCCGACAUGAGAGGGUGAUCGGCCACACUGGAACUGAGACACGGUCCAGACUCCUACGGGAGGCAGCAGUAGGGAAUCUUCCGGCAUGGGCGAAAGCCUGACGGAGCAACGCCGCGUGAGUGAAGAAGGUCUUCGGAUCGUAAAACUCUGUUAUUAGGGAAGAACAAAUGUGUAAGUAACUAUGCACGUCUUGACGGUAACUAAUCAGAAAGCCACGGCUAACUACGUG